CAAGCUCAGGCGUGCGAUGGGACUGUUCAGCCACCGAACACCUGUCGGACAGGGGAAGCCGGUGAGAUCCCGGCGCUGUCCCGCAACCGUGUGCGUCCUCGGACGCGAGCCGGAGCACCUCCCGCCAGGUUCGGCUCUAU
RNAcentral lists this non-coding RNA (140 nucleotides) under Luteipulveratus mongoliensis. Lineage: Bacteria; Bacillati; Actinomycetota; Actinomycetes; Micrococcales; Dermacoccaceae. The record is from RNAcentral.